AGCGAACGCUGGCGGCAGGCUUAACACAUGUAAGUCGAGCAGGCACUUUCGGGUGUCAGCGGCGGACGGGUGAGUAACGCGUGGGAACGUGCCCUCUGGUUCGGAAUAACUCAGGGAAACUUGAGCUAAUACCGGAUACGCCCUUUUGGGGAAAGGCUUGCUGCCGGAGGAUCGGCCCGCGUCUGAUUAGCUAGUUGGUGAGGUAACGGCCCACCAAGGCGACGAUCAGUAGCUGGUCUGAGAGGAUGAUCAGCCACACUGGGACUGAGACACGGCCCAGACUCCUACGGAAGGCAGCAGUGGGUAAUAUUGGACAAUGGGCGCAAGCCUGAUCCAGCCAUGCCGCGUGAGUGAUGAAGGCCUUAGGGUUGUAAAGCUCUUUUAUCCGGGACGAUAAUGACGGUACCGGAGGAAUAAGCCCCGGCUAACUUCGUG
RNAcentral lists this ribosomal RNA (435 nucleotides) under uncultured bacterium. RNAcentral's name for it is "partial 16S ribosomal RNA". It matches the Rfam family "Bacterial small subunit ribosomal RNA", at positions 29 to 507 of the family's 1533-position model. The record is from RNAcentral.